This 253-nucleotide ribosomal RNA is filed under the name uncultured bacterium. RNAcentral's name for it is "partial 16S ribosomal RNA". It matches the Rfam family "Bacterial small subunit ribosomal RNA", at positions 524 to 776 of the family's 1533-position model. The record is from RNAcentral.
UACAGAGGGUGCUAGCGUUAAUCGGAUUUACUGGGCGUAAAGCGUGCGCAGGCGGUUCUCCAAGUCCGUUGUGAAAGCCCCGGGCUCAACCUGGGAAUGGCAGUGGAAACCAGGGGACUGGAAUCUGGCAGAGGGGGGUGGAAUGCCGCGUGUAGCAGUGAAAUGCGUAGAGAUGCGGCGGAACACCGAUGGCGAAGGCAGCCCCCUGGGCUGAGAUUGACGCUCAGGCACGAAAGCGUGGGGAGCAAACAGG